AGUAAACUGAAGACGAAGAAAGUAUAACUAAAAACCUUCAAAGAGAAAGAUACCACGGCUGAAAGUAUCUAAGUAGUUUUAAAGUUAGAAAGACACUUCUAAAGGCUUUUCUGAAACAUAGUAGGAAAAGACGUCACUCGCGUUAAGAGAUAAGGGCCUAGACUUACUAGGAACUAAGGUGGUACCGCGGAUACUUAUUCGUCCUUAAA
The sequence is a non-coding RNA, 209 nucleotides long. It matches the Rfam family "T-box leader". From Rfam's summary of the family: Uncharged tRNA acts as the effector for transcription antitermination of genes in the T-box leader family.